Molecule: long non-coding RNA, 1215 nt
Organism: Brassica napus (rape)
Lineage: Eukaryota; Viridiplantae; Streptophyta; Magnoliopsida; Brassicales; Brassicaceae
Exons: 3
Source: RefSeq, a predicted model, not a curated record
UUCUAUAAUGUCAAGAUCAGGAGAGAGAGGGCAAAGAGAGCCUCUUCCAAAGUUUUAUGGGACGAAUGAAUAAUGUUUUUGUUGUGAAGAUUAAUGUUCGUUUGUGUUCACGACAUAAGUUUUUGGCGGGUUCUGCAGAUCUUUGAAAGAAUUUAUUCUCAUGUACCACCAAGCCAAUAAUCUUUAACAAAUUCACUAAUCUCUGGCAUGUGCUAUAUUGAUCUGAAAAUGCCUAUAUCUUUUCUAUGUUGAAAAUGAUACAAAUAGAUUAUUAAAGGUCUAUGGUCUGACUCCUUAAUUAAACUUGGAGUACUUGCAAUGCGCUGCAAGAAACAUCUCUAAUCAAGAGUAAUUCUCUGAUGGGCCAGAAGAAAACCUGAUUCAGUUUUGUUGACAAGUUACAGGACCAAUGGUGUAGUAUGGAUGCUUGUCCUGCCCCUUUUCAUACCUCUCUUCUCUCGCCUCCCUCUAUUUUGCAUGUCAAUCUUAUUCCUUUGUGAGAGCUUGUAUGUAAAGCAUGACACUUUCGAUGGAAUAUUUCACAAUUUUAUAUAAACUCAAAGCUCUUUUGCUGAUAUGGUUGCAGAUUCAAAGACUCUAAAGGAAGAGAAAACACAAAAACUUUAAAAAAUCUUAAAGCUUGACAAGUCGUUGGAUGGGGCUGUUGACGUCAUUGGUUCCAUGGAACUCUCAGCUAAAAUGCUUGCAAAAAACAAGAUCAAUUUAAAUGAGAUUUCAUAUAACUCCGCAAUGGGGCUCAUCAAACAGGUUAUAGACAUGGGAGUUCUUCUAACUGAGGUUUAUCUGGAUACCGUGGUAGAUCCUGAGAAGUACUGAAUAAAACUGUCUGAGAGGUUUGGUUCGUUAAAGUUUGUCUUCUCAAAGAAAACUGAUAGUAUGUACGUAUACUGUUGUUAGUGUAGCAAGUAUUGUGGCUAAGGUUAAUAUGUUAUGGAUUAUCACUAUUCUGUGUUUGGAUUCCCAUCAUUGGUACGUUUCAAUUGGGGAACUUGCACAACGCAUUUGAAGGGCAAUGUUGAAGUUUCAUGGUUAGUUUUUCUAAUUGCUCAUAAAAUUAUCAUUUUUGUAUAGUUAACACAGACAUUUUUGAUUUUAUAUAUCACUUAAUAGCUUAUAAAAUUAUCAUCAUUUAUUUUUGUAUAGUUAUGCAUUUGCAUUCAUAUUCUUUAUUUUAAACCAGUAAAAAAAUUUUAA